UGGGUUAAAAGGGUGCGUAGUGGGCCUGUUAAGUCAGGGGUGAAAGACGGUAGCUUAACUAUCGCAGUGCCCUUGAUACUGAUGGGCUUGAAUACACUAGAGGUAGGCGGAAUGUGACAAGUAGCGGUGAAAUGCAUAGAUAUGUCACAGAACACCAAUUGCGAAGGCAGCUUACUAUGGUGUUAUUGACACUGAGGCACGAAAGCGUGGGGAUCAAACAGGAUUAGAUACCCUGGUAGUCCACGCCCUAAACGAUGAAUACUCGAUGUUGGCGAUAUACGGUCAGCGUCUAAGCGAAAGCGUUAAGUAUUCCACCUGGGGAGUACGCCCGCAAGGGUGAAACUCAAAGGAAUUGACGGGGGCCCGCACAAGCGGAGGAGCAUGUGGUUUAAUUCGAUGAUACGCGAGGAACCUUACCCGGGCUUGAAAGUUAGUGAAUAAAGCAGAGACGCUUUAGUCCUUCGGGACACGAAACUAGGUGCUGCAUGGCUGUCGUCAGCUCGUGCCGUGAGGUGUUGGGUUAAGUCCCGCAACGAGCGCAACCCCUAUGUUUAGUUGCCAGCACGUUAAGGUGGGGACUCUAAACAGACUGCCUGUGCAAAUAGAGAGGAAGGAGGGGACGACGUCAAGUCAUCAUGGCCCUUACGUCCGGGGCUACACACGUGCUACAAUGGUCAGUACAGAGGGCAGCUACCUGGCAACAGGAUGCCAAUCUCACAAAGCUGAUCACAGUUCGGAUCGGGGUCUGCAACUCGACCCCGUGAAGUUGGAUUCGCUAGUAAUCGCAUAUCAGCAAUGAUGCGGUGAAUACGUUCCCGGGCCUUGUACACACCGCCCGUCAAGCCAUGGAAGCUGGAAGUGCCUGAAGUGCGUAACCGUAAGGAGCGUCCUAGGGUAAAGUCGGUAACUGGGGCUAAGUCGAACAAGGUA
RNAcentral lists this ribosomal RNA (930 nucleotides) under uncultured bacterium. Its description in RNAcentral is "bacterial SSU rRNA". It matches the Rfam family "Bacterial small subunit ribosomal RNA", at positions 555 to 1498 of the family's 1533-position model. The record is from RNAcentral.